GAGCAGACGGAAAAAUGCGUCAUUUUAGUACACUAUUGUAACUUAGCGUCUUACUAACCAAAGCGUGAGAAUUGUAGUUGAAGCUCACUUGAAAUCAAUUUCAAUUUAGCCUCUGGACGCUUACAUGCAUCCAGUAGCUAAACGGAGAACAAAAUUGCAAAAUUGGAAUUUUUGAACUCAAGAAUUCUACAAAAAGGAAACUAAAUCGGGUACGUAUUUUUUAUAACAUCAUGCUUGUAAUAUAAUUUCAUCUUUCUCACUGUAGCAU
Molecule: non-coding RNA, 268 nt
Organism: Paramuricea clavata
Lineage: Eukaryota; Metazoa; Cnidaria; Anthozoa; Malacalcyonacea; Plexauridae
Source: the annotation of a GenBank genome assembly